AGUGAACGCUGGCGGUAGGCCUAACACAUGCAAGUCGAACGGCAGCACAGUAAGAGCUUGCUCUUACGGGUGGCGAGUGGCGGACGGGUGAGGAAUACAUCGGAAUCUACUUUUUCGUGGGGGAUAACGUAGGGAAACUUACGCUAAUACCGCAUACGACCUACGGGUGAAAGCAGGAGAUCUUCAGACCUUUCGCGAUUGAAUGAGCCGAUGUCGGAUUAGCUAGUUGGCGGGGUAAAGGCCCACCAAGGCGACGAUCCGUAGCUGGUCUGAGAGGAUGAUCAGCCACACUGGAACUGAGACACGGUCCAGACUCCUACGGGAGGCAGCAGUGGGGAAUAUUGGACAAUGGGCGAAAGCCUGAUCCAGCCAUACCGCGUGGGUGAAGAAGGCCUUCGGGUUGUAAAGCCCUUUUGUUGGGAAAGAAAAGCAGCAGGUUAAUACCCCGAUGUUCUGACGGUACCCAAAGAAUAAGCACCGGCUAACUUCGUG
Molecule: ribosomal RNA, 492 nt
Filed under: uncultured bacterium
Lineage: Bacteria
Description: partial 16S ribosomal RNA
Rfam family: Bacterial small subunit ribosomal RNA
Source: RNAcentral